GAUGAAGAACGUAGCGAAAUGUGAUACGUAAUGUGAAUUGCAGAAUUCAGUGAAUCAUCGAGUCUUUGAACGCACAUUGCGCCCCCUGGUAUUCCGGGGGGCAUGCCUGUCCGAGCGUCAUUGCUGCCCUCAAGCACGGCUUGUGUGUUGGGCCUCCGCCCCCCGGCUCCCGGGGGGCGGGCCCGAAAGGCAGCGGCGGCACCGCGUCCGGUCCUCGAGCGUAUGGGGCUUCGUCACCCGCUCCGUAGGCCCGGCCGGCGCCCGCCGGCGACCCCCCUCAAUCUUUCCAGGUUGACCUCGGAUCAGGUAGGGAUACCCGCUGAACUUAAGCAUAUCAAUAAGCGGAGGA
RNAcentral lists this unclassified non-coding RNA (349 nucleotides) under soil metagenome. RNAcentral's name for it is "partial contains 5.8S ribosomal RNA, internal transcribed spacer 2, and large subunit ribosomal RNA". The stretch from base 1 to 120 matches the Rfam family "5.8S ribosomal RNA", at positions 35 to 154 of the family's 154-position model. The record is from RNAcentral.